AAACCAUGGUGAGGGCAUUUCAUUGUGUAGCCUUUGAAGCACUCCCAUGCUUCUCCGAAGCUUUCAAGUCCCUUCUGUGUGAAUCCAGUAACUUCAUUUCGGAGUCG
Non-coding RNA from Brassica napus (rape), 107 nucleotides. The record is from Rfam. Lineage: Eukaryota; Viridiplantae; Streptophyta; Magnoliopsida; Brassicales; Brassicaceae.